This 590-nucleotide ribosomal RNA is filed under the name uncultured bacterium. RNAcentral describes it as "bacterial SSU rRNA". It matches the Rfam family "Bacterial small subunit ribosomal RNA", at positions 173 to 780 of the family's 1533-position model. The record is from RNAcentral.
GGAGCUCCUGCUGCAUGAAGGGGGUGGGAAAGUUUCGGCGGAUGGGGAUGGACUCGCGGCUUAUCAGCUUGUUGGUGGGGUAGUGGCUUACCAAGGCUUUGACGGGCAGCCGGCCUGAGAGGGUGACCGGCCACAUUGGGACUGAGAUACGGCCCAGACUCCUACGGGAGGCAGCAGUGGGGAAUAUUGCACAAUGGGCGGAAGCCUGAUGCAGCAACGCCGCGUGCGGGAUGACGGCCUUCGGGUUGUAAACCGCUUUCGCCUGUGACGAAGCGUGAGUGACGGUAAUGGGUAAAGAAGCACCGGCUAACUACGUGCCAGCAGCCGCGGUGAUACGUAGGGUGCGAGCGCUGUCCGGAUUUAUUGGGCGUAAAGGGCUCGUAGGUGGUUGAUCGCGUCAGAAGUGUAAUCUUGGGGCUUAACCCUGAGCGUGCUUUCGAUACGGGUUGACUUGAGGAAGGUAGGGGAGAAUGGAAUUCCUGGUGGAGCGGUGGAAUGCGCAGAUAUCAGGAGGAACACCAGUGGCGAAGGCGGUUCUCUGGGCCUUUCCUGACGCUGAGGAGCGAAAGCGUGGGGAGCGAACAGGCUUA